CUGUCUAUUUAUUAAUUGUUUGAAAUUGCUAAGGAGGGUGAAAAUACCUCUAUAUUUAUAAAACGACGAGAAGACCCUAGAAAUUUACUAUAAUGUGUAUAUUCACUACUAUUUUGUUGGGGUGACAGAAUAACAAAUAACUUAUUUUUAUAUAUCUAAGAAUUUUAUAUAAUGGAAAACAAAAUUACUCUAGGGAUAACAGCAUAAUUAUUUAAUAGUUUGUGACCUCGAUGUUGGAUUAAGGAAGGUUGUACUCAGAAGGUACAACUAUUGGUUCUGUUCGAACGGCAAAUUCUUACAUGAUCUGAUUCCG
This 313-nucleotide ribosomal RNA is filed under the name Humboldtiana sp. OM-2006. RNAcentral describes it as "partial 16S ribosomal RNA". The record is from RNAcentral. Lineage: Eukaryota; Metazoa; Mollusca; Gastropoda; Stylommatophora; Humboldtianidae.